AGCAAGCAGAGCAGACAUUGUGAAAUUACGGUUUUUCCCUCCAUUCUUUGCUUAAUUGCGGUUUGCUGUUUGGCCUGGGUAUAAAAGGCGCUGAGGUGACAGAAGCGAUCCUCUUUCCCUUUCUUCAUGCUUGGCUAAUCUCUGUGUUUCUGUUGUUGAUAGAGUGAAAGAGAGGGAGAGAAUUACAGAGAAUAGGUGCUGUGAAUUGUGAUCGUGUUUGUUUUCCUUUUAUGGUUUGUUUCGAUGGACGCGACCUUUUUUCUUUCUCCUCGUUUUUGACUCAGCUCUGCAUUCUUGGGAGAGAGUUGCAGAGAAUAGGUUCUGCAUGUUGUGAUCGUGUUUGUUUUCUUUCCAUUUAGGGUUUGUUUGUUCCUUGCACGUCACUGAUUUGGGUUUUUAGUGAUGCAGGAGUUCAUGUUAGUAAUGAGAGGGAAGACGAAGAUUGGAAUUAGAUCGAGGAAAGCAAGAGAGUACUUUCUUUGGCGGUUUUGUUUUGUUGGCGAUUUCGGGUUUGUUGGAAACUCAGGAGCUAUUGGGCUCAUUGUCGCGAUCUUCUGUCUCUCUCUCUCUCUUUCUCUUCGUUUUUGGCGGGUUCUUCACAUGUAGAGGGAUAUAUAUUUUCACACAACAACUGACCUUUAAAAGAUUAGGUAAUCAAGAUACUCUUUUUCGUUUUUAUGAACUAAAGUUUGGCUUCCUAUAUAUAAUGUAAUAAACUCAAAGCUGUUUUUGGCAUUUCAAUUUUGCGAUUUCUGUCGGGUACUUCUAGUAAAAUAACACUAUUGCAGCUGGAAGGCUUGCUGACCGAAGGGAGCACAUCAAGACUUCGGUUAGUAAAUGUUUCCCUUGAUAUAUUAAAUGAAUGACAUGACCAAAUUGAAUUUGGUGCUGCAUAUUCACCUUCUUGCCUUUGCAAUAGUUUACAUUAUUCUUUGGCUAUACAAAAUAUUGUACUUGAUGUAUAGUAAUAAUCCCCCAGAAUCUCCUACACUGCUUUAAUUUUUCAGGUAAAAUGUUGCAUUUGGAAAAGGAAAAAAUGGACUGAAAUAUCAUGUCACUUUUUGUGUAAAUAGAAAUGGAGGCAGCAACUUUUUGGACAACGUCCAUAGCUAAUCAUCACUAGGCUAACAAUCUCUCAGCAACUGAUGUCACUUUUGAUAUAGUCACUAGAUUAGCCUAUAAGUAGAUCACUGUA
Molecule: long non-coding RNA, 1195 nt
Organism: Rosa chinensis
Lineage: Eukaryota; Viridiplantae; Streptophyta; Magnoliopsida; Rosales; Rosaceae
Exons: 3
Source: RefSeq, a predicted model, not a curated record